This 360-nucleotide long non-coding RNA is filed under the name Arabidopsis lyrata. Its description in RNAcentral is "long non-coding RNA (ALYR_LNC000285)". Lineage: Eukaryota; Viridiplantae; Streptophyta; Magnoliopsida; Brassicales; Brassicaceae. The record is from RNAcentral.
GGACAAAUGAGAGUGAGCAGCUCGUGCUUCACUCAAAGAGAAUCACAAGAACACCAAAAUUGGGUUUGUGUGUUCAUGUGUAAAUCCAUCAAGAAACUAACUCAAUGUGAGCUGUUCUUGAGGUAAAAUAGGAGCUAUACACGCCAAUAUGAGCUGUGUAUACUCAAGAAUAAGCAUGAGAAGCAACAGCUCUCUCAUACCAACAAGAACCCAAAUACCCUUAUAGAAACGUUUAGAGAGAAUGGGAGAACAGAAUUGAAUAGAAGGGAUGAGACCAAGCAUUGCCAAAGCUUGGUCUCUCCAUGAGAUUAUCAAGACUAGAAUCUACCCAUUUGAGUGUAAAGAAGACGUUUUGUAUAA